This 77-nucleotide transfer RNA is filed under the name Candidatus Saccharimonadota bacterium. Its description in RNAcentral is "tRNA-Val". It matches the Rfam family "tRNA". Rfam says of the family: Transfer RNA (tRNA) molecules are approximately 80 nucleotides in length. Their secondary structure includes four short double-helical elements and three loops (D, anti-codon, and T loops). Lineage: Bacteria; Candidatus Saccharimonadota. The record is from RNAcentral.
GGGCAAUUAGCUCAGCCGGCUAGAGCGCAGCAUUCACAUUGCUGAGGUCAUAGGUUCGAAUCCUAUAUUGCCCACCA